Molecule: ribosomal RNA, 552 nt
Filed under: uncultured archaeon
Lineage: Archaea
Description: bacterial SSU rRNA
Rfam family: Archaeal small subunit ribosomal RNA
Source: RNAcentral
GACAAGGUUCCAGACCCUACGGGGUGCAGCAGGCGCGAAACCUCCGCAAUGUACGAAAGUGCGACGGGGGGAUCCCAAGUGUUAUGCUUUUUUGUAUGACUUUUCAUUAGUGUAAAAAGCCUUUAGAAUAAGAGCUGGGCAAGACCGGUGCCAGCCGCCGCGGUAACACCGGCAGCUCGAGUGGUAGCUGUUUUUAUUGGGCCUAAAGCGUUCGUAGCCGGUUUGAUAAGUCUUUGGUGAAAGCUUGUAGCUUAACUAUAAGAAUUGCUGGAGAUACUAUUAGACUUGAAGUCGGGAGAGGUUAGAGGUACUACCGGGGUAGGGGUGAAAUCCUAUAAUCCUGGGAGGACCACCUGUGGCGAAGGCGUCUAACUGGAACGAUCUUGACGGUGAGUAACGAAAGCCAGGGGCGCGAACCGGAUUAGAUACCCGGGUAGUCCUGGCCGUAAACGAUGUGGACUUGGUGUUGGAAUGGCUUUGAGUUGUUCCGGUGCCGAAGGGAAGCUGUUAAGUCCACCGCCUGGGAAGUACGGUCGCAAGACUGAAACUUAA